Molecule: ribosomal RNA, 399 nt
Filed under: uncultured bacterium
Lineage: Bacteria
Description: bacterial SSU rRNA
Rfam family: Bacterial small subunit ribosomal RNA
Source: RNAcentral
AAUCAACGCUGGCGGCGUGCCUCAGACAUGCAAGUCGAACGCGAAAGUCCCCUUCGGGGGACAAGUAGAGUGGCGCACGGGUGAGUAACACGUAGGUAAUCUACCUUCGGAUGGGGAAGUAACAACCGGAAACGGUUGCUAAUACCGCAUAAUGCAGCGGCACCUAAUGGUGACAGUUGUUAAAGCGGGGGAUUGAAAGACCUCGCGUCUGAAGAGGAGCCUGCGGCGGAUUAGCUUGNGGUUAGGGUAACGGCCUACCAAGGCGACGAUCCGUAGCCGGCCUGAGAGGGCGGUCGGCCACACUGACACUGACAUACGGGUCAGACUCCUACGGGAGGCAGCAGUCGGGAAUUUUGGGCAAUGGGCGAAAGCCUGACCCAGCAACGCCGCGUGAAGGAU